UGGGAGAGGAAGAAGCAGGCUCAUAGCGGAGGAGCCUGAUGUGGGGCUCGAUCCCAUAACGCCGGGAUCACGCCCUGAGCCGAAGGCAGACGCUUAACCGCUGUGCCACCCAGGCACCCCAACACUGCAGUUAUUUCUAACCGGAAAUGGAUUUUUGCUACUUCUAAAUUGAAGACUUACAUAAGUUCUCAACAUCAAUUUCCAAUUUAAACAAAAGGAUUAUUACCUCUGGCACUGACAGGUCACUGGGAACAUUAAUAAAGUUAAAAUAGUGAGUUAAAACAUCUUUGUAUAAUUUAGAGAUCUAUUUACUAGUUACACAAAAGUCUUACCAGUGAACAGAAGGAUGUGAAAGAUUAUAAAUAUUGUCCUAACAUAAGUCUAACAGUGAUGAUACAAUGGAUAAAAGCAAAUUAUUGCACUGUUAUUACUUCAGAUGACAUGAAUUUUUGCCAAAAGUAGCAGCUCUCUGAUCAUUACUGAAUAUAGGAAUUUGUACUUAUUAGAUCACUUUUCUCUAAUGAAUUAAUAGCUUAAAUAAUGAUAGAAAUGCAAAAAAAAAAAGUUGCUAGAAUAAGCAGCCAAUUUCUGCUUUGCUUUUUUUAUUUUAAGGAAAUCAACAUUUCUAUCUUCAAACGUAAGACACACUUUUAUAAUCUAUACCCCUUGACAGAUCUGAAUCCCAAAAGGUAGUAUUGGAGAUGUUUAGAACCACAGGAAAAUAACAGGAAACCAAGAUACAGCACACACAUCACAAAAACAAACAGGAUGCUGGCAGCCUAUAAUAGCAUACCUAGAACCCACAACAACCAAAUCACACACUCAUUCUCUUCCAAAACUGUUAAUUCCAAAAUUACAAAAACAGAGGAGAAAAUACUCUCUCCCCUUACUAUUCUUUCUUCUAUUUGGAGAGUCAACUUUAGGAAACCCUUGCGAAGAAACAGCCAUAGGAAUGCAUGCUGUGUAAGGGAAGCAGGGGACAAAUGCCUCGGGCUGGACCACCUGAGUUGCAGCUCUUGUCCAGAAGCCUUCUGAUGACGCCUUUCGAUAAGAUGAAAAAAGCCACAGGAUCACGACUUCCUCCUCGCUGGCAUCCUGUGUCUACUUCUGCUCCUUCUGUUCCAUUACUUCCUGGAGCUGCCAGAAUGGCUUAAGUGACAGGUGGUUUCCUUUGCUAUAGACCACAUGAAGGUCAGUAUUACCUGAGACCCUGCAGAUCCACCUUCUGCCUCGCUCUCUUGCCUAAGCCACGUGGUCUUUGAGUUGCGUAUUUCACUCUCAGCCUUCAAGUUUUGCUCCCGUUAUUCCUUCUUAUCUUUCAGACCUAAUCUCAGUUCUAGGAAGCAUUCUUUAUCCCUCUGCACUCGAUAAACUCAAUCUGCAAGAAGACCUCACAGCUCCCUGUAUUUUCUCUUAAUACUCUUCGUAAUUCGCAGUAUAUGCUUGUGUAAAUUUUUUUUAAAUGUCACCAAUCUCUGCCAGUUGACCGUAGUCUGAGAAUGCAGAGUCACCGCCUAAUUUGCUUGUUGUUACUUCACCAACGCCCAGCCCAGGACCUGAUACAGAAGCUCGAUUAAUGUUACUGAAUGAAUAAAUCCCAGGUUUUGCCAUCUAUCCUUUCUUUUAUCCUUCUAGGACAGCUGGCUGACACAACUGAUGGGGUUGGAAUAAAUGUCUCCUAUGUUUACCAAUAUACCAAGCAUUCUUACUAUAGAUGGGGAAACACUGAAAGACAUAGUCUACAAGGCAAACACUGAGUUCAAAUUUAAACUGCUUUGCAAGAUAAAAGAAGAAUUUACAAGGCUUGGAGACAGAUGACUUGGGAGAAAAGAGAACUGUGGCCUCAAAAAUAUAGCUAGAAGCAAUAUGCUCAGGAGACAUCGAAACUAUGAUAGGAAUUAACUGCUAGAUUGUAGGAGUGACAGUAAUGAUUUUGAAGUUGUUUCCUGUACUAUGAAGCUGUGUAACCCUUUACUGUUAAUACAAAUUCCAAUUCCAAUAAAGCCUUUGUGCACUUGACCUUGUCCAGUGAUGUUUUGUGAAAUGGGAGUAAACCAGGCUGUGUCCAAUGCUGGGAACAGGAGGGAAGAAAGACAUGAGGGGGCGGAGCCUGAGAUCUCAAGAGAGAAUGGCCAAUUGGAAAAGAAUGAAGAGAAAUAACCCUUCAAACUCCGUCUGCUCAGCACAUCCUUGAAAAUUUUCUUCUCCCAGAGAAUCACUCCACUGAAGCCUUACAUCCUUGGGAUAAUGCACAGAAAUGCAUUCAGGGCAAGUACUCUGGAGAACGGCCUCAACUGACUACAAACGUGCUAGAUAGUAGUGAGUCUUCUUUAUACCCAACAACAAAGGGAAGACGGAUCACGGUGAACCAGCAAUGUCUACCCAGUGGCUCAAAGAAAAGUGAAUGGCUAGGUGCGCCUGGGUGGCACAGCGGU
Long non-coding RNA from Ailuropoda melanoleuca (giant panda), 2435 nucleotides. RefSeq lists it as uncharacterized. Lineage: Eukaryota; Metazoa; Chordata; Mammalia; Carnivora; Ursidae. The record is from RefSeq and is a predicted model, not a curated record. The transcript has 5 exons.